Crotalus tigris (Tiger rattlesnake) is the source of this 427-nucleotide long non-coding RNA. RefSeq lists it as uncharacterized. The record is from RefSeq and is a predicted model, not a curated record. Lineage: Eukaryota; Metazoa; Chordata; Lepidosauria; Squamata; Viperidae. The transcript has 3 exons.
UUAUAACUCAAUAAAUAGACAGCCGUGUCUGUCCCAGGAGUAAGAUUUGGUCCACAACCAGUCUCAGCAUGAAGAUCCUUUAUCUGCUGUUCGCAUUUCUUUUCCUUGCAUUCCUGUCUGAACCAGGGAAUGCCCACCAUGGGUGUCAUGGAAUGUGCAGGCCCCGCUGUCGUCCAGGCCAUAAUAUUCCCGGGCACUGUCCAGGGCGACAGAGGUGCUGUAGACGGAUGUAAUGCCAUCUCCAUCUAUGACGAUGGAUACCUUCAGGAUAUCUGCAAGAUAUGGCCAAUGACCUGAGAUUACUGCCUGCUGUCGCUUUAUCUUUCUUUAUAUAAAUCAAAUUGCUACCCAUCAAACUCUAAAACAUUUGUGCAUUGAAAUAAAAUUUGGCAAAUAUUUCGUGAAAUAAAGCUAAAUGAGCAUUGCA